This 672-nucleotide ribosomal RNA is filed under the name uncultured bacterium. RNAcentral's name for it is "bacterial SSU rRNA". It matches the Rfam family "Bacterial small subunit ribosomal RNA", at positions 9 to 675 of the family's 1533-position model. The record is from RNAcentral.
GAGUUUGAUCCUGGCUCAGGAUGAACGCUAGCGACAGGCUUAACACAUGCAAGUCGAGGGGCAGCACAGGUAGCAAUACCGGGUGGCGACCGGCGCACGGGUGAGUAACGCGUAUGCAACUUGCCUAUCAGAGGGGGAUAACCCGGCGAAAGUCGGACUAAUACCGCAUGAAGCAGGGGCCCCGCAUGGGGAUAUUUGCUAAAGAUUCAUCGCUGAUAGAUAGGCAUGCGUUCCAUUAGGCAGUUGGCGGGGUAACGGCCCACCAAACCGACGAUGGAUAGGGGUUCUGAGAGGAAGGUCCCCCACAUUGGUACUGAGACACGGACCAAACUCCUACGGGAGGCAGCAGUGAGGAAUAUUGGUCAAUGGGCGUAAGCCUGAACCAGCCAAGUCGCGUGAGGGAUGAAGGUUCUAUGGAUCGUAAACCUCUUUUAUAAGGGAAUAAAGUGCGGGACGUGUCCCGUUUUGUAUGUACCUUAUGAAUAAGGAUCGGCUAACUCCGUGCCAGCAGCCGCGGUAAUACGGAGGAUCCGAGCGUUAUCCGGAUUUAUUGGGUUUAAAGGGUGCGUAGGCGGCCUUUUAAGUCAGCGGUGAAAGUCUGUGGCUCAACCAUAGAAUUGCCGUUGAAACUGGGGGGCUUGAGUAUGUUUGAGGCAGGCGGAAUGCGUGGUG